UUUUCAUAAGUAGAUGGCUAUCUCGUUUCCCUAAAGGAGAACAGAUCAUGGUUUCUCUUCCCAAGGACACCCAUGCGCCUGUGUGCAGGAAGGAAACAUCUGUGGAGAGGUGAGUGAAUAACCAAUGCGAGGAUGCACUGAGAUACACACUAGGACUGAUGCUAUGAUGGAGUGGAAGCAGGAG
Molecule: long non-coding RNA, 184 nt
Filed under: Anas platyrhynchos platyrhynchos (common mallard)
Lineage: Eukaryota; Metazoa; Chordata; Aves; Anseriformes; Anatidae
Description: lncRNA (ENSAPLG00000026681.1)
Source: RNAcentral